AGAGUUUGAUCCUGGCUCAGGAUGAACGCUGGCGGCGUGCCUAACACAUGCAAGUCGAACGGAAUUUACAUGAAGCCUAGCGAUUGUAAAUUUAGUGGCGGACGGGUGAGUAACGCGUGGGUAACCUGCCUUGUACUGGGGGACAACAGUUGGAAACGACUGCUAAUACCGCAUAAGCGCACAGCUUCGCAUGAAGCAGUGUGAAAAACUCCGGUGGUACAAGAUGGACCCGCGUCUGAUUAGCUGGUUGGUGAGGCAACGGCCCACCAAGGCGACGAUCAGUAGCCGGUCUGAGAGGAUGAACGGCCACAUUGGGACUGAGAUACGGCCCAGACUCCUACGGGAGGCAGCAGUGGGGAAUAUUGGGCAAUGGGCGAAAGCCUGACCCAGCAACGCCGCGUGAAGGAAGAAGGCCUUCGGGUUGUAAACUUCUUUUACCAGGGACGAAGGACGUGACGGUACCUGGAGAAAAAGCAACGGCUAACUACGUGCCAGCAGCCGCGGUAAUACGUAGGUUGCAAGCGUUGUCCGGAUUUACUGGGUGUAAAGGGCGUGUAGGCGGAGAUGCAAGUUAGGAGUGAAAUCUAUGGGCUCAACCCAUAAACUGCUUCUAAAACUGUAUCCCUUGAGUAUCGGAGAGGCAAGCGGAAUUCCUAGUGUAGCGGUGAAAUGCGUAGAUAUUAGGAGGAACACCAGUGGCGAAGGCGGCUUGCUGGACGACAACUGACGCUGAGGCGCGAAAGCGUGGGGAGCAAACAGGAUUAGAUACCCUGGUAGUCCACGCUGUAAACGAUGAAUACUAGGUGUGGGGGGACUGACCCCCUCCGUGCCGCAGUUAACACAAUAAGUAUUCCACCUGGGGAGUACGACCGCAAGGUUGAAACUCAAAGGAAUUGACGGGGGCCCGCACAAGCAGUGGAUUAUGUGGUUUAAUUCGACGCAACGCGAAGAACCUUACCAGGACUUGACAUCCAACUAACGAAGUAGAGAUACAUCAGGUGCCCUUCGGGGAAAGUUGAGACAGGUGGUGCAUGGUUGUCGUCAGCUCGUGUCGUGAGAUGUUGGGUUAAGUCCCGCAACGAGCGCAACCCCUAUUGUUAGUUGCUACGAAAGAGCACUCUAGCGAGACUGCCGUUGACAAAACGGAGGAAGGCGGGGACGACGUCAAAUCAUCAUGCCCCUUAUGUCCUGGGCUACACACGUAAUACAAUGGUGGCCAACAGAGGGAAGCGAAGCCGUGAGGCAGAGCAAAUCCCUAAAAGCCAUCUCAGUUCGGAUUGCAGGCUGCAACUCGCCUGCAUGAAGCUGGAAUUGCUAGUAAUCGCGGAUCAGCAUGCCGCGGUGAAUACGUUCCCGGGCCUUGUACACACCGCCCGUCACACCAUGAGAGUCGGGAACACCCGAAGUCCGUAGUCUAGCCGCAAGGGGGGCGCGGCCGAAGGUGGGUCCGGUAAUUGGGGUGAAGUCGUAACAAGGUA
RNAcentral lists this ribosomal RNA (1478 nucleotides) under metagenome. Its description in RNAcentral is "bacterial SSU rRNA". It matches the Rfam family "Bacterial small subunit ribosomal RNA". The record is from RNAcentral.